AUGCCCGAGCGACGCUCCCAAGCUAUGGUGAGCCCCUGCGCCACCACCCUCUCUCCUCUCCUCCCCUACUCCCUCACCCAUCUCUCUCCCCCGCAGACGUACCCCGCCGCCAGGAGGCCAGGAGGCCGCCAUGGAGGCCCGUCCCGAGCUCGCCUCGCUGCUCCUCCGGUGACCCUCGCGAGCGGCGCGACCGGAUGGGGCACGAACCCUAGCGGCGCGGUCGGAUGGGUAACGGACCCUAGCGGCGUGGCCGGAUGGGGCACGGGCGCCAGCGGUGGAGCUGGUUGGGGUGCGGCGGCCAACAGGCAUGAGAUUCAAUCGUGA
Molecule: ribosomal RNA, 324 nt
Filed under: Triticum aestivum (bread wheat)
Lineage: Eukaryota; Viridiplantae; Streptophyta; Magnoliopsida; Poales; Poaceae
Description: partial small subunit ribosomal RNA
Source: RNAcentral